Molecule: ribosomal RNA, 479 nt
Filed under: Colletotrichum graminicola
Lineage: Eukaryota; Fungi; Ascomycota; Sordariomycetes; Glomerellales; Glomerellaceae
Description: SSU rRNA
Rfam family: Eukaryotic small subunit ribosomal RNA
Source: RNAcentral
UCGUAGUAGAACCUUGGGCCUGGCUGGCCGGUCCGCCUCACCGCGUGCACUGGUCCGGCCGGGCCUUUCCCUCUGCGGAACCGCAUGCCCUUCACUGGGUGUGCCGGGGAAGCAGGACUUUUACUUUGAAAAAAUUAGAGUGCUCCAGGCAGGCCUAUGCUCGAAUACAUUAGCAUGGAAUAAUAGAAUAGGACGCGUGGUUCUAUUUUGUUGGUUUCUAGGACCGCCGUAAUGAUUAAUAGGGACAGUCGGGGGCAUCAGUAUUCAAUUGUCAGAGGUGAAAUUCUUGGAUUUAUUGAAGACUAACUACUGCGAAAGCAUUUGCCAAGGAUGUUUUCAUUUAUCAGGAACGAAAGUUAGGGGAUCGAAGACGAUCAGAUACCGUCGUAGUCUUAACCAUAAACUAUGCCGACUAGGGAUCGGACGAUGUUAUUUUUUGACUCGUUCGGCACCUUACGAGAAAUCAAAGUGCUUGGGCU